RNAcentral lists this small nuclear RNA (287 nucleotides) under Heterocephalus glaber (naked mole-rat). RNAcentral's name for it is "7SK RNA". It matches the Rfam family "7SK RNA". From Rfam's summary of the family: 7SK was discovered as an abundant small nuclear RNA in the mid-70s but a possible function has only recently been suggested. Two independent studies have found that 7SK RNA binds the CDK9/cyclin T complex (known as elongation factor P-TEFb). P-TEFb activates transcription by phosphorylating the C-terminal domain of RNA polymerase II. The record is from Rfam by way of RNAcentral. Lineage: Eukaryota; Metazoa; Chordata; Mammalia; Rodentia; Bathyergidae.
GGAUAUGAGGAGGGUGAUCUGGCUGUAACAUCUGUCACCUUAUUGACCAGCAGGGUUGAUUCAGUUGAUCUGGCUGGCUAGGCAGGUGUCCUCUUUUCCCCCGACUGCUCCCUGUAUGUCCCUCCUGAAGGUGCAUGCUCGGCUAAAGAGGACAACUACCCUUGAUAGAGGAGGACCAUUUCUUUGGUCAAGGUUGUACGAGUAACUGUUCACCUGCUAGAACCUCCAAACAAGCUCUAAAAAUGAAAAAAUAAAGGGCUAGAGAUGUAGCUCAGGGCAAAGGCCUU